RNAcentral lists this ribosomal RNA (479 nucleotides) under uncultured bacterium. Its description in RNAcentral is "partial 16S ribosomal RNA". It matches the Rfam family "Bacterial small subunit ribosomal RNA", at positions 28 to 507 of the family's 1533-position model. The record is from RNAcentral.
GAUGAACGCUGGCGGCGUGCUUAACACAUGCAAGUCGAGCGAGAAGUUUUGAAAAGAUUCUUCGGAUGAAAUUUAAAAUGGAAAGCGGCGGACGGGUGAGUAACGCGUAGGCAACCUGCCCCAUACAAAGGGAUAGCAUUUGGAAACGAAUAUUAAUACCUUAUGAAACUUAACUAGUGCAUGCUAGGUAGGUCAAAGAUUUAUCGGUAUGGGAUGGGCCUGCGUCUGAUUAGCUAGUUGGUGAGGUAACGGCUCACCAAGGCGACGAUCAGUAGCCGACCUGAGAGGGUGGACGGCCACAUUGGAACUGAGACACGGUCCAAACUCCUACGGGAGGCAGCAGUGGGGAAUAAUGCAAAAUGGGGGAAACCCUGAUGCAGCAACGCCGCGUGAACGAUGAAGGCCUUUGGGUCGUAAAGUUCUGUUCUAGGUGAUGAAAACUGACAGUAACCUAGGAGAAAGCCCCGGCUAACUCCGUG